Triticum urartu is the source of this 136-nucleotide non-coding RNA. NCBI's taxonomy places the organism in Eukaryota, Viridiplantae, Streptophyta, Magnoliopsida, Poales, Poaceae. The record is from Rfam.
CAUGUACUCCCUCCGUUCUAAAUUACUUGUCUUGGAUUUUUCUGGAUACAGAUGUAUCUAGACUUAAUUUUAGUGCUAGAUACAUCCGUAUCUAGACAAAUCUAAGACAAGUAAUUCAGAACGGAGGGAGUACUAG